This 702-nucleotide ribosomal RNA is filed under the name Streptococcus sp. HFB0005. RNAcentral describes it as "bacterial SSU rRNA". It matches the Rfam family "Bacterial small subunit ribosomal RNA", at positions 67 to 753 of the family's 1533-position model. Lineage: Bacteria; Bacillati; Bacillota; Bacilli; Lactobacillales; Streptococcaceae. The record is from RNAcentral.
CGCUGAAGCUUGGUGCUUGCACCGAGCGGAGGAGUUGCGAACGGGUGAGUAACGCGUAGGUAACCUGCCUCUUAGCGGGGGAUAACUAUUGGAAACGAUAGCUAAUACCGCAUAAAAGUCGACAUUGCAUGAUGUUGACUUGAAAGGUGCAACUGCAUCACUAAGAGAUGGACCUGCGUUGUAUUAGCUAGUUGGUGAGGUAACGGCUCACCAAGGCGACGAUACAUAGCCGACCUGAGAGGGUGAUCGGCCACACUGGGACUGAGACACGGCCCAGACUCCUACGGGAGGCAGCAGUAGGGAAUCUUCGGCAAUGGACGGAAGUCUGACCGAGCAACGCCGCGUGAGUGAAGAAGGUUUUCGGAUCGUAAAGCUCUGUUGUAAGAGAAGAACGAGUGUGAGAGUGGAAAGUUCACACUGUGACGGUAACUUACCAGAAAGGGACGGCUAACUACGUGCCAGCAGCCGCGGUAAUACGUAGGUCCCGAGCGUUAUCCGGAUUUAUUGGGCGUAAAGCGAGCGCAGGCGGUUAGAUAAGUCUGAAGUUAAAGGCUGUGGCUUAACCAUAGUACGCUUUGGAAACUGUUUAACUUGAGUGCAGAAGGGGAGAGUGGAAUUCCAUGUGUAGCGGUGAAAUGCGUAGAUAUAUGGAGGAACACCGGUGGCGAAAGCGGCUCUCUGGUCUGUACUGACGCUGAGGCU